Molecule: long non-coding RNA, 511 nt
Organism: Pantherophis guttatus
Lineage: Eukaryota; Metazoa; Chordata; Lepidosauria; Squamata; Colubridae
Source: RefSeq, a predicted model, not a curated record
UUGUAACUGUCAUUCUCCAGGCUGUUUUUCAAAUGUCACCAUUCUGUGAAAUGAAGAAGAAGAACAAAAUGGAGCAGAAGAAAAUAUGAAAUUGCUUUGAUCCACCUGGAAAAUACAAUAGAAAAGGUAUAAUGGACUUGGUACAAUAAACAAAGGAAAGCUACGAAUGGAUGACAAUUCCUGAGAGUGUGAAGCUAAGAAGUGACACUUAAAAUGGGCAGAGGAAGUCAAUAAUGGCUUCAGUUACAAUCUAGGUUAUGCUGUAAUGCUGAGAGAACACUGGGACAGCCUUUAACAUUUACAAGGCAAACCAGAGUUGAACAGAUACAACACAGAGAAGCCUGGUUAGAAAAGAAGUUACAGCAGCGGAAAUUCUUACAGUCAUGCAUUUUUAAAUGCAGAAGAAGAGCCCAUCAGGGGGAAAAAAAAUAACACUCAUUUCUCUGACUAGGUUUUUGUGUGUGACAUAUACAGCUUACUACAGUAGAUGGAAUUUUGCUUUGAUACAAUA